CCUACGGGGGCAGCAGUGGGGAAUAUUGGACAAUGGGCGAAAGCCUGAUCCAGCCAUGCCGCGUGUGUGAAGAAGGCCUUCGGGUUGUAAAGCACUUUCAGUGGGGAAGAAAGCCUUGGGGCUAAUACCCUCGAGGAAGGACAUCACCCACAGAAGAAGCACCGGCUAACUCCGUGCCAGCAGCCGCGGUAAUACGGAGGGUGCGAGCGUUAAUCGGAAUUACUGGGCGUAAAGCGCGCGUAGGCGGUCUGAUAAGCCGGUUGUGAAAGCCCCGGGCUCAACCUGGGAACGGCAUCCGGAACUGUCAGGCUAGAGUGCAGGAGAGGAAGGUAGAAUUCCCGGUGUAGCGGUGAAAUGCGUAGAGAUCGGGAGGAAUACCAGUGGCGAAGGCGGCCUUCUGGACUGACACUGACGCUGAGGUGCGAAAGCGUGGGUAGCAAACAGGAUUAGAUCCCCGGGUAGUC
Molecule: ribosomal RNA, 464 nt
Filed under: Vreelandella stevensii
Lineage: Bacteria; Pseudomonadati; Pseudomonadota; Gammaproteobacteria; Oceanospirillales; Halomonadaceae
Description: partial 16S ribosomal RNA
Rfam family: Bacterial small subunit ribosomal RNA
Source: RNAcentral